CCCAAGCUAUGUAUUUUAAAAGAAUAAUGCCAUAUUGUAUCCUGUAAUUUCUAGUUGUUUUAUAUCAGUAGGUUUUGUUUUUAUUUUACAGGUCUAUCUCAGAGUUAUUGUGACUUCAAUUCCAGAUCACACAUAAAAGUGAGUGUCACAAUAAAAUGAGUCAAAUGAAUUUUUUUGGUUUUAAGUGCAUAUAAAAGUCACAUGUACACUAUGCUGUGUCUAUGGUGUAUAAUAGCAUUAUGUCUGAAAAAUGUACAUACCUUAAUUUAAAAAUACUUUGUUGCUAAAAAUGCUAACAAUCAUCCUAGCUUUCAGUGAAUUAUUGCUUUUAGUGGUGGAGGGUAUUGCUUCAGUGUUGAUGGUUGACCGAUUAAGAUAGUGUUUGUUGAAGGUUGACAUGACUGUGGCAAUUUCUUAAAAUUAGAUGUCAGUCUCUUGCUGUUUCUACCACCUCACCUCUGCACCCACCUACAAAAAGGGACUAGACACUGAGGAACGACAAGUACAAGGCCAGAGAUACAAAGGUGGUCAGUAAGGAAACUCAACUUAAACAAAGAUGGCAUUGAGCAUGUAAAUGAAGAUAUGUGCUUAAUAGUAAAAGUAAAAUUAUCCUUUCCAUAAAGAACAUGAAAUUACAAAUCUAUGGAGAGAAGAAGUUCUUGGUCACUGCUGGGCAGUGCGUGCGUGUGUUCAGGGGACAGUGAACAGGAGCAUCAGCUAGAAAGAAGAUCUGGAUCCUUCAUCUUUUGGAGAUUUGCCCCCUGCACUUGUGGAUCCAGUUUGGGGAGGUCCAGUUUGGCUCUUUGAUAAUGUCUCUGGAGCUUGAAAUGAUUUCCAGUGGUGAAGGCCCGUCAUGACCCAUGUACCUCAUAUGAGGUAAGCCUAAGACAUAGUGGUUUAGAGCAUAGACUCUGGAACCAGAUUGUCUGUGUUGAAUUAUGACUCUAUCACUUAUUAGCUGUGUAACUUAAUUAAUCUCUUUGCACUUUAGUUUUAUCAUCUAUUUAAUGGGGCUAAUAAUAGUAACUAUCUAAGAGAUUUAGUGUAUGUAAAGCCUUAGAACAGUGCCUGACACAAUAAAUGCUAUAGAAGGAUCA
This 1097-nucleotide long non-coding RNA is filed under the name Felis catus (domestic cat). Its description in RNAcentral is "lncRNA (ENSFCAG00000044853.2)". Lineage: Eukaryota; Metazoa; Chordata; Mammalia; Carnivora; Felidae. The record is from RNAcentral.